This 465-nucleotide ribosomal RNA is filed under the name Vreelandella stevensii. RNAcentral's name for it is "partial 16S ribosomal RNA". It matches the Rfam family "Bacterial small subunit ribosomal RNA", at positions 338 to 795 of the family's 1533-position model. The record is from RNAcentral. Lineage: Bacteria; Pseudomonadati; Pseudomonadota; Gammaproteobacteria; Oceanospirillales; Halomonadaceae.
CCUACGGGUGGCAGCAGUGGGGAAUAUUGGACAAUGGGGGCAACCCUGAUCCAGCCAUGCCGCGUGUGUGAAGAAGGCCCUCGGGUUGUAAAGCACUUUCAGUGAGGAAGAACGCCUGGUGGUUAAUACCCAUCAGGAAAGACAUCACUCACAGAAGAAGCACCGGCUAACUCCGUGCCAGCAGCCGCGGUAAUACGGAGGGUGCGAGCGUUACUCGGAAUUACUGGGCGUAAAGCGCGCGUAGGUGGCUUGAUAAGCCGGUUGUGAAAGCCCCGGGCUCAACCUGGGAACGGCAUCCGGAACUGUCGAGCUAGAGUGCAGGAGAGGAAGGUAGAAUUCCCGGUGUAGCGGUGAAAUGCGUAGAGAUCGGGAGGAAUACCAGUGGCGAAGGCGGCCUUCUGGACUGACACUGACACUGAGGUGCGAAAGCGUGGGUAGCAAACAGGAUUAGAUACCCUAGUAGUC